CAAGCUGGCGGCGGCUUACACAUGCAGUCGAUCGAGACCUUCGGGUCUAGCGGCGGACAGGUGAGUAACGCGUGGGAACGUGCCCUUCUCUACGGAAUAGCCCCGGGAAACUGGGAGUAAUACCGUAUACGCCCUUUGGGGGAAAGAUUUAUCGGAGAAGGAUCGGCCCGCGUUGGAUUAGGUAGUUGGUGAGGUAACGGCUCACCAAGCCGACGAUCCAUAGCUGGUUUGAGAGGAUGAUCAGCCACACUGGGACUGAGACACGGCCCAGACUCCUACGGGAGGCAGCAGUGGGGAAUCUUAGACAAUGGGGGCAACCCUGAUCUAGCCAUGCCGCGUGAGUGAUGAAGGCCUUAGGGUUGUAAAGCUCUUUCAGCUGGGAAGAUAAUGACGGUACCAGCAGAAGAAGCCCCGGCUAACUCCGUGCCAGCAGCCGCGGUAAU
RNAcentral lists this ribosomal RNA (443 nucleotides) under uncultured bacterium. Its description in RNAcentral is "bacterial SSU rRNA". It matches the Rfam family "Bacterial small subunit ribosomal RNA", at positions 35 to 524 of the family's 1533-position model. The record is from RNAcentral.